UUUCCGUAGGUGAACCUGCGGAAGGAUCAUUAUUGUACCAAAUGUGCGAGGCAUGCGAGGGCUGUCGCUGACUGAAAAGUCGUGCACGCCGGAGGGUGUCUUCUCACAUAAUAAUCCAUCUCACCCCUUGUGCAUCACCGCGUGGGCACCCUUUGGGAUCUGACCGAUCCUGGAAGGGGGCUCACGUUUUCACACAAACCCCACAUCUAAAAGUGUAGAAUGACCUCGUUCAUGCAAUAAAUACAACUUUCAACAACGGAUCUCUUGGCUCUC
RNAcentral lists this unclassified non-coding RNA (273 nucleotides) under soil metagenome. RNAcentral describes it as "partial contains small subunit ribosomal RNA, internal transcribed spacer 1, and 5.8S ribosomal RNA". The record is from RNAcentral.